RNAcentral lists this ribosomal RNA (301 nucleotides) under uncultured bacterium. RNAcentral describes it as "partial 16S ribosomal RNA". It matches the Rfam family "Bacterial small subunit ribosomal RNA", at positions 510 to 808 of the family's 1533-position model. The record is from RNAcentral.
AGUAGCCGCGGGAAUACGUAGGGUGCAAGCGUUAAUCGGAAUUACUGGGCGUAAAGCGUGCGCAGGCGGCUAAUUGAGUCGGAUGUGAAAUCCCCGAGCUUAACUUGGGAAUUGCAUUCGAUACUGGUUAGCUAGAGUGUGGGAGAGGAUGGUAGAAUUCCAGGUGUAGCGGUGAAAUGCGUAGAGAUCUGGAGGAAUACCGAUGGCGAAGGCAGCCAUCUGGCCUAACACUGACGCUGAGGUACGAAAGCAUGGGGAGCAAACAGGAUUAGAUACCCGGGUAGUCCCUGUCUCUUAUACA